AACGAACGCUGGCGGCAGGCUUAACACAUGCAAGUCGAGCGCCCAGCCAGGGGACCGGCAGACGGGUGAGUAACGCGUGGGAACGUACCCUUAUCUUCGUGAUCGCUCCGGGAAACUGGAAUUAAUACCGAAUGUGCCCUUUGGGGGCAAGUUUUAUCGGAUAAGGAUGGGCCCGCGAUGGAUUAGCGAGUUGGUGGGGUCAAGGCAUUCCAAGGCGACGAUCCAUAGCUGGUCUGAGAGUAUGAUCAGCCACAUUGGGGCUGAGACACGGUCCGAACUCCUACGCGAGGCAGGAGAGGCGAAUAUAGGAACACGGGCGCAGGCCUGAUGCAGCCAGGACGGGUGAGUGAUGAAGGCAGUAGGGAUGUAAUGCUCUUUCACCGGAGAAGAUAAUGACGGUACCCGGAGAAGAAGCCCCGGCUAACUUCGUG
Molecule: ribosomal RNA, 431 nt
Filed under: uncultured bacterium
Lineage: Bacteria
Description: partial 16S ribosomal RNA
Rfam family: Bacterial small subunit ribosomal RNA
Source: RNAcentral